RNAcentral lists this long non-coding RNA (384 nucleotides) under Paramuricea clavata. Lineage: Eukaryota; Metazoa; Cnidaria; Anthozoa; Malacalcyonacea; Plexauridae. The record is from RNAcentral.
CGACAAUACCGGUAAAUAAUAUUUUUAUUUUUUUUAAUUCCUCCUCUGGAUUUCCCCAAUCACUCCUCCCGCACGCGAAUGAAGCUGCCAAAUAAAACGUCGUUUCUAUCAAUGCUAUCGGGAAGAGUAAAUCUUUUGUGAGAUAGUAAAGUUCGCUUUCACUGUGUUCUUCAUCGUCUGCAGACAUUUUAAUAUUUUAAAAAGUAGCCUUUAAACUCGUCUUUAAAUUUUGAAAAAUAAAAACAUUGGCUCUACGGCUUUAAAUCUCGUGCGGUCCGUACGGGCUCAUACGGACCGCUCACGUAGCCAAUCAGAUUGCAGAAAAGCGUAAAAUAUGACUUCGGACCGCAAGAAAAAAAAUAAAAUUUCAUAUUUUACUACAAG